Molecule: non-coding RNA, 125 nt
Organism: Hordeum vulgare subsp. vulgare (domesticated barley)
Lineage: Eukaryota; Viridiplantae; Streptophyta; Magnoliopsida; Poales; Poaceae
Source: Rfam
UAUAUACUCCCUCCGUCCAAAAAUACUUGUCAUAUGAAUGGAUGUAUCUAGAUGUAUUUUAAUUCUAGAUACAUCCAUUUGUAUCCAUUUGCGCGACAGGUAUUUUCGAACGGAGGGAAUUUAAA